GCGCCCGUAGCUCAGCCGGAUAGAGCAACGGAUUUCUAAUCCGUGGGGCGGGUGUUCGAGUCACCCCGGGCGCGCGA
RNAcentral lists this transfer RNA (77 nucleotides) under Chthoniobacterales bacterium. RNAcentral's name for it is "tRNA-Arg". It matches the Rfam family "tRNA". Rfam says of the family: Transfer RNA (tRNA) molecules are approximately 80 nucleotides in length. Their secondary structure includes four short double-helical elements and three loops (D, anti-codon, and T loops). The record is from RNAcentral. Lineage: Bacteria; Pseudomonadati; Verrucomicrobiota; Spartobacteria; Chthoniobacterales.